UGCGACCUCACGUCAGGCG
Molecule: ribosomal RNA, 19 nt
Filed under: Pomaderris flabellaris
Lineage: Eukaryota; Viridiplantae; Streptophyta; Magnoliopsida; Rosales; Rhamnaceae
Description: partial 26S ribosomal RNA
Source: RNAcentral